UAGGCUAAAAUAGAAAAUAAGAGAGAUAAGUCCUUGUUCUCAAAGAUCUUACAAAGCUAAAACAUAUUAAAUAAGCAGUCACAGUAUUAUGUAAUUAUAAUUAUGAAAGAAUUACAGGGUACCAUGAGAGAGUAUAACAGGGGACUUGGUCUGGGAGGUCAGGGAAAAUUUGCUGGUGAGCUAACACUUGAGCUGAGCUCUGAAUGAAUGAUAACAGUUAUUUAGAUGAAGGAGCAGAAGAGCCUCCCAGGGAUGGCAAAUAGAAUGUGCAAGGUGACUGGAUAGGAUGUCAGGAUAUUAAUGGAUUUCAUUAUAAUUCAUAUCUGUUUGUUGAAUUCUUGUUUGUGGUCCAUAUCAUGUACUUAACGUUUCUUACUCACUUGACAUACUAAAAAAUUAUAGGUGAGCUAAAGAGUUAAGUAAUAUCUAUGAGAUUUUGUUUUAUAUAAAUAUAUAUAUAAGUAUGUAUAUAUAUAUAUAUAUAUAUAUAAUAUAUGUUAAACAUAUAAGUUACUUUAUUCUGUGGCAGUAUUAUCUGGUCCAUAUGUCCACCUUCAUAAAAGCCUGUUCCAUCUUGUAAAUUAUACAUAUGUGAAGAUGUGCCUUCUAUAGACUGGGAGACUACAAAAACUACAGUUUUGUGAAAGUCUUCUUUACAGGGAAGGAAGGUGGAUUCUGUUUUUAUUCAUACUUGAGUUUGUUUGUUUUUUUUUUUAAUUUUGUGGCAGUGAAUAUAGUCAUGUAGAGAAUUGUCUUAAAUUGACUAAUUAUGAUUUUACCUAGGUUGAUUCGUUUAGUAAGUGUAUUUUCUAAAGAAAUGAAGAUUUAGCUGUGUGUAUAUGUAUGUAUGUAUUUUCACUAAAAAGGACUUCAGGUUAAAUCUCUUCUAUAGAUAAGAAAACUUAGGCCUGAGAAGUGUAGGGGACUUUUGCAAGUCUGAGUUAAGUGUUUUUUGUUUUGUUUUGUUUUGUUUCCUAUUGUUUUCUUGUUUUAGAUUGGUUAAACACUGAUUUCUGUUUUACAGAGCCAAACACCCUGAAAUUAAGUGGAUCUUUAGGCAGAGAACUUAGACUUCACCAGUUUUAUAUAAAAUAAAAGCAAACUUUAAUGUUGCCUUUCCAGCCACCUUUAGCCCAACAGAAAGUAAAUGUUCAUAGAUUUUAGCAUUCCACACAGGGUUCCAUGAUGGACAGUACCUAUUUGCCUGGCAGCCGUUUAAGGUCCACAAAGAUCUAUAUGAUCCACUGGGGAGGGAACUAGUUCAGCUAGUAGUAUUUAUUAUGUGUAGUGGCAAAUACUAAAAAUGUAUACCCUAAUAUGCCAAAUUGCCUAGAAGAAAAGACCAAAAGGCCGUCUCUUUCAUGGAAUUAAAUGGGUAUAAUCAGUGUCUUAUUUAGAUUGGUUAGACAUUCAUGUGUUAGGCCACACAUGUAAUGAUAGAUCAGUAACCCUUUCUGACUAUGUUGCUAAAUGGAAUUACAUUUUAAACAUAUUUUGUACCUAACUUCUAUUCAACCAAGUUUUAUUUGGUUGUAUUUAUAACUUAGGUCUAGGCUUCAACUAACUUAGGAAAUAGCUUACAAAUUAAAGGAAGAAAGGAUAAUUAUAAAGGGCUGUUUUGGGGGUGGGGCCAGGCCCCACUAAAGGUGUAUGUCUUAUGGCCCCAAUCUGUAUGUCCUUUCUCUGCAACAUGUAGCACUUACUGCUUCUUGAUUUUUUAAUUUUUUGACCAACACUUAUUCAAAACCUUCUCCAAUUUUAUAUCUAUUAUCUUUACUAAUCAUUUGUGGCAGGUGAUCUCAUUUAUUUUACAGAGAAAUCUAGGCUGUCUAGCCUGCUAUUUCUUUGUUUUCUCUCUUUAAAGAAAUGAUUUCUGGAGCGCCUGGCUGGCUCAGUUGGUAGAGGAUGUGACUCAGUCUCAGGGUCAUGAGUUCAAGCCCCACAUUGGGCAUGGAGCCUACUUAAACCUUAAUUAAUUAAUUUAAAAAAAGAAAUGAUUUCCUUUUUGAGGCAAUUGGUGAUCUUAAUUUAAUUCCCAUAUUAAAUUCUCUCCGCAUUGCUUUGUUUUUCUUUACCAUUAAAUUAGAAUAUUUUGUUUUCAGGAUUUGUUGUAGCUAAAGUCAACAUUAGACAAACCUGCAUGCAUUUGUUUAUACUGGCUAUAUUUAGAAACUCAGCAUUUCAUUUGGUGCUAGUAAUGCUUAGAAUUUUUUUCCUUAUAAUUUUGGCCUUUAUUGUUCCAUUUGUUAAUUUUGGGGUGAAGCAAUUGAGACUUCAUUUUAUUGGCAUUUAAUAGUCAUUUUAUUGGCAAAGAGAUAGAGAGGGAUUAUUAAGUGGUAUAUUUGUGUUGACAGAGAUGAAAAGUGAUCAGGUGAUGACAUACUCUAUUCCCAUCCAUGUUGAUAUAUAUCAGAACCUAGAGGUAUAUACAUGCAUAGUUUUAUAAAAUGGUAUUUACUGCUUUUCUAAUAUAAUUGAAGGAAGGCUUGAUAAUUCUUGGUCAGUGGAGAUACACAAAAACUAGAGUGAAAAAGCAGUAGACUAAAAGCUAUUACUAUUUUCACUGCUUUUAGGAAGAUUAUUCUUUAGAAGAUGUAUAGAGUCAUUAUGAAUUGUGUAAAUACAUGUUUGAAUUUUUCUGAAUUUGAAUGUCUUUAUUUUGGGCUAAACCAGAUUCCUGAAAAACUACAGAUUUGAACCUUUUAACUUUUCCUCCCUUCCUCCUAAUAGCUUUGGUUUGUAGAACUGGACCACAACAUCAUACUGUCAGCUUUCACUGUGGAAUAAAACAAGAAGAAGAAAGAAAAAGAAAUGCUUCUGAAUUGUUGAAAAGAUGACAGAGUUUUGCCCAUUGCUCCUUAUACAGAAAUCUUAAAAACAUUCUCUUAGAUGCACCUAAAUUACAUAAAAGCAAAUAUUAAGAGAUCUAAAGGGACAAAUAGACAGUAAUAUAAUAAUGGUAGGAAACUUUAAUAUCCCACUUUCAUCAAUGGUUAGAUCAUGCAGAUAAAAAAUAAGGAAACAUUGGCUUUAAACAACACAUUAGACCUGACGGACUAAACAGACAUAUACAGAAUAUUCUAUCCAAAAGAAACAGAAUAUACCUUCUUUUCAUGUGCACAGGAUAGAUCAUUUAUUAGGCCACAAAAAGGUCUUAAUAUGUUUAAGAAGAAUGAAAUUGUAUUAAGCAUCUUUUCUGACCACAGAGGUAUAAAAACAAAUCAAUUACAAGAAGAAAACUGGAAAAACUACCAAUAUGUGAAGAUUAAACAGCAAUCUAUUGAACAAAUGGGUCAAAAAAGAAGUCAAAGAGAAACCAAAAAAUACCUUGAGACAAAUGAAAAUAGAUAUAUGUACAACAUACCAAACUUACAGGAUGCAGCAAAAGCAGUGCUAAAAGGGAAGUUCAUAAAGAUAAAUGCCUACUUUAGGAAGCAAGAAAGAGCUCAAAUAAAUAACCUAACUGUACAUUGCAAGGAACUAGGAAAAAAAGAACAAAUGAAGCCCAAAGUUGAUAGAAGGAAAUAAAUAACAAAGAUCAGAAUGGAAAUGAGAGACUAACCAAAAGAAAAGAUCGAUGAAACUAAGAGCUGAUUCUUUGAAAAGAGAAGCAAAAUUGAGAAGCCUUUAUCUAGAUUCAUCAACAAAAAAAGAAGACUCAAAAUCAGAAAUGAAAGAGAAGAUAGACAAGUAAUACCAGAAAUACAAAGGAUAAGAGACUACUGUGAACAGUUACACACCAACAAAUUUGACAACCUAGAAGAAACGGAUAAAUUCCUAGAAGCGCAUGAUCUACCAGACUGCAUCAUGAAGAAAUAGAAAUCUGAACAGACUAAUUACUAGAAAGGAGAUUGAAUCAGUAAUCAGAAACCUCCCAACAAACAAAAGUCCAGGACCAGACGACUUCACUGGUGAAUUCCAUCCAAUAUUCAAAAAAGAAUUAAUAUCAAACUCCUUCAAAAAACUGAAGAGGUGGGAACACUUCCAAACUCAUUUUACAAGGCCAGCAUUACCUGGAUACCAAAACCAGAAAGGGAUACCACAAUAAAAGAAAAAUUACAGAGAGAGACACAGUGAGAGCAGGAUCACAAGCAGGGGGAGAGGGAGAAACAGGCUUCCCGCGGAGCAGGGAGCCCGAUGUGGGGCUCGAUCCCAGGACCCCGGGAUCAUGACCUGAGCCGAAGGCAGACGCUUAACGACUGAGCCACCCAGGCGCCCCGAACGUUUGUGUAUUAUUAAGUCUUGUAUGGACAAAUGUUUUUAUUUCUCUUGAGUAGCUACCUAGGAAUGGAUGUUAUAUGUUAUGUUUAACAUUUGUUCAACACAGAACUGCCAAACUGUGUCCAAAGUAACUAUACCAUUUGAAGUUCUAACCAGCUGUCGGGGGGGGGGGGUGUUAGUUUCUCCACAUCACUAACAUUUUUUAUAUUAUUUGUCUUUUUUAUAAUAGCCAUUCUAGUAGUUAUGUGGUGGUAUCUCAUUUUGGCUUUAAUAUGCAUUUCCUCAGUGCUGUUGAUGGCAACCAUCUUUUUGUAUACUUGCUAUAGCAUGUCUUCUUCUUUUUUUUUUUUUUUGCAUGUCUUCUUUUGGUAAUGUAUCUAUUCAAAUCUUCUGCUCAUUGUUGGAUUGUUUGCGUUAUUGAAUUGUAGGACUUUUUUUUAUAUAUUCUGUUUAUACAUUCAGUAUCAGAUAAGUGAUUAGUAAAUACUUCCACUCUAGCCUCUCUUCAUUUUCUUAUUGGUAUCUUUUGAAGUUUAUUCCUGGUUUUAAGAAAUUUGAUUGUAAUUUGCCUUGUGUAGUUUCCUUUAUGUUUCUUGAUCUUAAGCUUCUUGGGUCUUUGGACUUACAAUUUUAACCAAAUUUGGGAAAUUUUAUAAAAAUAAAAAGAUUUUUAUUUUUGAGUAAUCUUUAUAUCCAAUGUGGGGCUCAAACCACAAUCCUAAGAUCAAGAAUUGCAUGCUCUACUGACUGAGCCAGCCAAGCACCCUCAAAAAUUAUUUUAGAAAGCAUCAUUAUGUUUUCUUAAGGGAUGACACUUGAAGAGAAUCCACAAAUGACCCACAGUUUACUGAUGGUUCUGUUCAUUUUUAUCAGUUCCUUUCUUUUCUUUUGGUGUGUUUUAUUUUAAUAAUGCUCUCUCUUGUUUUCAUUGAUGUUAUCUUCUGCAGUAUCUGAUUUGACAUUAAUCCCAUGUAAUGUAUUUUUCAUCUCAGAUAUUGUAUUUUUUGAUGUAUAAAAGUUUUAUUUGGGUCGUUUAUAUCUUUCUUAACGUGGUUAUUCUUAGGAGUUGGCAAACUAUGGCCCAUGGGUCAAAUGCUGCCCAUGCCCCCCCCCCCUUUAAUAUGGUUUCCAAGCUAAGAAUAGUCUUUGUAUUUUUAAAGAUUUAUUUAUUUUAUUAUUUAUUUAAUUUAUUUUUAAAGAUUUUAUUUAUUUAUUUGGCAAAGAGAGAACAGGGAGCACAAGCAGUGGGAGAGGGAGAAACAGGCCCCCUGUCGAGCAGGGAGCCCGAUGUGGGACUCCAUCCCAGGGCCCUGGGAUCAUGACCUGAGCUGAAGGCAGUCGCUUAACCAACUGAGCCACCCAGGUGCCCUAAGAUUUAUUUGAGAGAGAGAGAGAGAGCAAGCACGCAGAGGGAGGGGCAGAAGGAGAGGGAGAAAAAGAAUCUAAAGCAGACUCUCUGUCAACCAUGGAGCCAGACUCGGGGCUUGAUCUCAUGACCUCCCAAACCUAAAAUAUCUGGCAACCCAGCCUCCACCCUAAAUAUAACAGUAGAGGAGGGGCACCUUGGUGGCUCAGUCAGUUAAGCGUCUGCCUUCAGCUCAGGUCAUGAUCCCAGGGUCCUGGGAUCAAGCCCUGUGUCAGGCUCCCUGCUCAGUGGAGAGCCAGCUUCUCCCUCUCUGCUGCUCCCUCCCUGCUUGUGCUCUCUCUCUCUCUCUGUCAAAUAAAUAAAAUCUUUAAAAAAACAGUAAAGGAAUUUGAAACUGGUGGUACACUGAAGGUCAUGAUAGCAACAACAUAACUCAAACCCACUUAAUUCAUGACUAGAUUUACUUAAAUUUCCAUAAUAAAGGUCUAAUGGAAGAAAAGGCAUGUCUAUCCCCUGGUAUAAAUACUAUUAACAUCAGUCUAUGCUGUUGUAUAUCAUGAAAUCCAGCUUUCAGCUACAAAUUAUUGACACUAUCAAGAGAAAAUCAAUUAGAAGAACUAAAUUCAGGUAUAAAUGCUUUAGUGGAAAAGGUUGAUAACAUGGUUAAACAUUGGGGAUUUUAGCAGAGAGAUGGGACACUUUAAGAAAGAAUUCAAAUGGAAAUGCUGGAAAUGGAAAACACAGUAAUAGAUGAUGAAUGCCUUUGGUGGGCAUAUCAGUAGAGUUGACACAGUUGAAGAAAGAAUGAACGAACUUGAAUAUAAGUCAAUAGAAAUUACCCAGACUAAAAGUAAAAAGAGAAAAAGAGAAGAAAAAACAGAGCACUUAAAAAAGAGCUUUAGGGAAAUAUGAAACUGUAUAAUAUACGUCUACUAGAAUCCUAGAAGGAGAAGAAAAAUGAGGCUGAAGAAAUACUGCUAAAGUGAUGGCCAUGAGUUUUCCAACUAUAAAGAAAGACAUCCAACCACAGAUCCAGGAAACUCAGGAGCAGGAUAAUUUCAAACAUAUACACCCUGACCUACCACCUAGAUCACCUAGAUCCAUCACAUUCAAACUCUGAAAAUCAGAGAGGAAAUCUUAAAGGCCACCAGAGUAAGGCAUUACCUAAUUUAGAAGAUUACAGAAAUACAGCAGACAUCUCAGAAACUAUGCCAGUCAGAACACAGUGAAGUGACAUCUUUAAAGUGCUGAAAGAAAAAAAAAAAGUAAUAACUCUCCAACCGGAAGGAAAUUAAAGAUGUUUUCAGGGAAUCAGAAGCUGAAAUUACUCAUUCCCAGAAGAUGUGGACUACAAAAGAUACCAUUCUAAUAUGAUGCCAGACAGAAAAUCUACUCAAAGAAAUGAAGAGAGCUGGUAAUGAUAAAAACUGAAGAUAAAUAUAAAAUAGAAUUUUCUUGUUUUUAAUCACUGUGAAACAUAACUGCCUAAAGCAGAAGUUGGCAAAUACUGUUUUAAAGGGCCAGGUUUUUUUAGACCUGCAGACUGUAGGGUGUUGUAACUACUCAACUCUGCUCUUGUAGCACCAAGGCAGCCAUAGACAAUACACAAAUGAAUGCAUGUAGCUGUGUCUCAAUAAAACUUUUACAAAAACUGGCAAGCCAGCCUAUGGGUCAUAUUUUCUAAAUGCCGAGAUUACAACAAGAAUUGUAGUGAAGCACUGUUGGUUUAUACCAUAUUUAAAAUGAAAAUGAAUGACAAGAAUAGCACAAAGAUUCUUAUACCUAAAGCAGCAUAGUAUUUGAAGGCAUGCUGGGAUUUGUUAAAGAUAUAUAUUGUAAAUUCUAGGGUAAUCACUAAAAACAUUGAAUACAGAGGUGGAUAUAUUAAGCCCAAGUGGAGAUAAAAUGGAAUUAUAAAGUUACUUAAUCCAAAAAUAGGUGGAAGAAGAGGUCAAAUGCAAUAGUGAACAAGAUAGAACAAAUAGAAAACAGCUAUUAAGAGAAUAGGUUUUAAUCUAAGCACAUCAAAAAUUAUAUUACAUGUAAAUGGUCUAAACCUAUUAAAAAAGACAAAAGUUGGUUAGUUGGAUAGAAAAACAAGAUCCACUAACAUAUAUAACCAUACCCCUAUGCCCUUUUUAUGUAAACAGAUACACACUUUUUUUUUUCUUAAUAUUAUAUCUUAGAGAGUACUCUUUGGAGAUAAAGAUUUAGUCCAAGUCCCUGUUUAUACCUCAUAGUAUUCUAUUGUGUAGAUGUGCCAAUUUAUUCCGUCAUAUCUGCUAAUGAUAUAUAUUUGGAUUGUUUCUAUUAUUUUCCUAUAUAAAUAGUGCUAUGAUUAAUAUCCUUUUGCAUGCAUUUUUUUGUUUUUGCCAGUAGAUUUUUAGGGUGGGUUCCUAGAAUCAAAGAAUGAAUAGAUAUGUAAUUUUGCUAAGUAGGCCAAAGUUUUCUUUAUAACAGCUCAUACCAUCUUGCAUUCUCACCCACAAAAUUAGUCCUUGUUUACAUUCAACUUUACCAAUUUUGUGUUAUCAGACUUUUGAUUUUUUUGCUAAUCUAACAGAGGAGUAAUGGCAUUUUAGUGUAUUUUUUAAAAAAAGAUUUAUUUAUUUAUUUUAGAGAGAAAGAGAGCACAAGCAGGAGGGGCAGAGAGGGAGGGAGAGAGAAUUCUUAGCAAACUCCAUGCUGAGUGCAGAGCCCGAUGCAGGGCCCCAUCUUAUGACCCUGAGAUCAGGACCUGAGCCAAAAUCAAGAGUUGGAUGCUCAACCAACUGUACCACCCAGACACCCUUCAAUGUAGUUUUAAUUUGUAUUUUUAAUAUGUAUUUUCCUUUCUUUUUUUUUUUUAAGAUUUUUUAUUUAUUUGAGAGAGCAAGAGAGCAAGAAUGGAGGGAGGAACAGAGGGAGAGGGACAAGCAGACUCCACGCUGAGCAGAGCCUGACAUGGGGCUCCAUCUCACAACCCUGAGAUCAUGAGCUGAGCCAAAACCAAGAGUCGGAUGCUUAACCAACUGAGCCAUCCGGGCGCCCCUUAAUUUAUAUUUUUCUUAUUGUGAGUGAAGUUGAACAUCUUUUUGCAUAUCCUUACAAACCAUUAUUUUUUCAUUCAUCUUUUGAUUUUGCUUAUUUUGUUCGUAUUUUUAGACAUUUUAAAAUGUAAUUAAAAUUUGUCAGUAUUCCUCUAUUGCUCUUGCAUCUUGAAUCAUAGUUAAGAAUGAUUUAAAGAAAAAUGAUUUGUCUAUAACCAGGUUAUAUGGGAUUUUUUUCUGAUAUUUGUAAUGUCUAAUUUUUUAUAUUUAAGUUUUUGAUACACUUUGAAUUUUUUCUUGUUUGGAACCUAGAGUGAAUCAGUUUUGUCUUAUAACAUUUGACUAUCCAAUACAAAGAAGUCAACUUUUUCCCUACUGAUUUGAGAUGCUGCUUUUGUCAUAUAUGCACUUUUCACAUCAGUUGGUCUAUUUUUGGAUUUUUCAUUUCAUUAGGCUAUUUUUUCAUCUGCCAAUACAAUGGUGGUUCAAUUAUAGAGGCUUUACAAAAUGUUUUAAUAUUGGCUUGCUCCUUUUCAUUACUCUGUUUCAUGGUUUUUCUAGAUAUUCAGCUUUCUAGAUAAUCAACUCUCCUACCUCCACAAAAACUUGCAAGUACUUUUAUUUGUAUGUAAAUUUUAAAUUACCUUCCUCCAGUCUAAGGACACUGGAAUAAUAAUCCUAAAAUUUCUCCUUCCAACUUAAAUGCUAUUUAUGUCAUGUGUUUUUGCUGUAUUUUAAAGCCCAGAUGAGAUUAUUUCUUCAUGAAGGGUGUCAAAAUUUGUAGCCUAUAUAUUCACUAAUUUGCAUCUUAGAUCCUUCUUGCUAAUUUAAUUUCCUAUCUAUUUGAAAACAGUUUCUAUUUUUCUGUGGUUGUUUAUACAUUGUUUUUUUUUUUUUUGUAUUUGAUGUUUUAUAGUUUACUGUGAUUAGCUAGGUUUAGACUUAUUUUUAUUAAUCCUUAAUGGGGUUUCCUGGGCUUCCUAGAUCUGAGGGUUGGUAUUUUUCAUCAAUUAUGAAAAAGUCUUACCUUGUUUUUGUCUUUACCUCAUCUCUCUCUCUCUCUCUCUUUUUUUUUUUGUGCAAGUAUAAUUAGACAUCUUAGACAUGUACACUCCAUUCCCUGUAUCUCCAGUUCUUGCUUGUGUUUUCUGUUUGUCUUUCUCUGUUGUAUUCUAUAUUAGUAAGUGGAUUUCUUGCAUUUGGAUAGUUAAUAAGCAUCAUACUUCAGUGGAAUUUUCCUAUGGUGGAUAAAUACACAAAUUCACAUUCUUGUAUUUCAGGGUGAAAAUUACCUAUAUGCUACAGAGACCCCAAAAAAGAAUAGUAAUUCUCGUUGUAACUACCAAACAAUCUACUAUGUGUGUCUUAUUUUAAGGAAGUCUGAUACUUUAUUACCAUUUGUAAUAGAUGAGAAAAUAUAGUCUGACUUCCAAGAAUCCUGAUGGUGGUGUGUAGUUUGUUUCAUAAAUAGGGACUGUACCAGUACUCUACUUAUUUAAACUUGCAUAACUCAUAGCAAUAUACUGAUUGAUGCAAGUCAAGUAAGUAUGAUUAUAUAAUGUAUAAUUUUUUAAAUUCAAAGGCAUGCUAUUUAUCAUGUAUAUGUCCCACUAUAAAUAAUUUGUUUUUAUAGAAGUCAUUUUAAGUAAUUCUAUUUUGAAUAAAUAUUUCAAUUUAUGUAAAUGAACUUUAGUUAACUCAUAACUUGGACUAAGGUUAAUUAUAAAUUGAUUAGUAUAUCGACUGGUAAUAUUAAAUAUUGUAUUAAAUAUACAUUAUACAAACAUUAAACAUUAUAUUAAACAUAUUCAAAAUUAAAAACUGAUAUAAACAUACACUAAUAAAUUUUUAGAAACCCUUUGAUGAAUUUAGUCAGAUAUCUUAAAAAGCUUCAUAAUGUAAGUGAAGAAAAAUUGAUGUCUUAUGUUUCAACAAAAUUGACAGUACACAGCAGAGAAAAACAAAUCUAUGAAGAUCUGUGUUUCCUCUUAGAUUAUUGAAGGAGGAACUUUGAUGGCAAUGUUAAUAAUAAAAAUUAACAGUACUUUUAUUAUUAGCAAGCAUCAGUAGCACAACCAGGGAUUGAUUGUUCUAAGUGCUUUACAAAAGGUAGUUAUUAUUUCUGUUUUAUAAACAAAUAAACUGAGGCAUAGAGCUAUUAAGUGACUUGCCCAGGGUUACAUAUCAAGAAAGUGGUGGAGCUGAGAUUGAAACCCAAACACUGUGGCUGUAGACCAUGGGUGAGUAAAGGGCCAGACAGUAAAUAUUUCAGGCUUAGCUCUUAAGGUUUCUGUUACCACUACUCAGUUCUGUCAUUGUAGUGUGCAAGCAGCCAUAGCCAAUAUGUAAAUGGAUGGGUAUGGUUGUUUUCUUAUAAUACCUCAUUUAUUGACAGGAUAUUUGAAUUUCAGAUCAUUUUUACCUGUCACGAAAAGUUAUUCCAGGUUUUUCUUCUCUUCUUCUUCUUCUUUUAACAAUUUAAAUAUGGCUAACUAUUCUUAUCAUGCAUUAUUCAACAGGCUAUCAUUGGGUCAGAUUUAGCCUGUGGAUAGUAGUCUGCCAGCCCUGCUCUAGAUUGCUACAUAUAUUUUGGGGGUCCUACUUUGUUCUAGUCUGGACUCACCCUCCAUCAUAGAGUUUUCUUCCAUGAGGGCUAGGUAACUUGAUCUCUAAACAUUUAGUUGAUCCUUUAUACCAGUCAAUAGGAAAUACAACAGGUUUGGAGCCUGAAGUUUCUACUUCUAUAAAUAAUCUAGAUUUUUCCCCUAGUGAUUUCACUACCACAUAAAUACUUGUUUACUUCCCUGAAACCCUAAGACAGAGCUAGCUAGAUUUGUUUUUAUUUACUCUUUUGUUUUUAUUUACUCUUACUUUGCAUGUAGUUUUAACAUUUUAAUGUCAUUAUCAUGGAGUUGGGCCUUGUUAUUGAGGUAGCCGAUAGUGGGGUCUGCACAGAUCUCUAUCUUUUGUUAUGUUGGCUCCCCUUUCAUUUUCACAUAAUUCAGACAUUAUAUAAUUCUGCAUAUUUUGUUGGAUUUUUUUGUACAGGGUCACAUGCGUCUGCAUACUCAGAUCUAAAUAUACUCCAUAGAACAUUUUAUUUCUACUAAAAACCUUUGCUAUCUCUCUCCCUCUUUUAAUACAGUUAAUUGCCCUACCAGUCAAUACUAUCUACUCAACAUAAUGAUGCAAUCCCUUUCCCUUCUACUUAGUGCAAACUUAAUGCCGCUGUUUCAAUAGGUUAUAAUAUAUACGUAAAGUACAAUAUUAUGAUAGUACAGAAUCAGCUAUAUAUUUGGAGAGAAGGAAGGGAAUUUUAGACCAGAUUCCUAUGUAAAAUUGUGUAAAUAGGUCUUGAGGAAGCAAAAUAGAUCCAAAGACCAUAAGAGCAUAUGAGUUAAGGAAAUGGGGAGAAGCUGUGAUUGGAGAGCAUAAAAUUUCUGAUAAAAGUUAUGUGUGUAAAUAUAGUUUUGAAUCAGACAUAAAAGUUUUUAUAUCAAGAUAAGGAAUUUGUAUUUCCUGCUAUAGAUUAAUGAUCUCAAAUAUCUACAUAGAAUGGGAAGGGAAUGUUAGUAAAAAAAUCAGUUAAGCAGCUAGUAUGUUGGAGAGGUGGACAGAGACUGGCAAAUUGGAAAGGAGGUUCAUGUUCUGUCUAAAGGUAGUAGCUGCUCAGCUUAUUUUGUCAUAGAGAGAUGCAAACCCUGUGUUAUAGGGGUUCCUGUUUCAUAGGAGCUCAGGGAAAUCUAGAUUUAGUCUGAAGUAGCAAAGUUUUUAAGUAUUAGCAACUAAAAUAUUUUUAAAAAAUAUUUUAUCCAUACAAAAUAAGUGUGUCCUCUGAAUGUCUUUGCUUUUAGAUGGUACAAUCCAAACAGCAGUUUGUAAAGUCUGUUAAGUCAAAUCAUUCUGUGUUUUAGGAUGAUAACAAUGGCGGCAGCUAUAUCAAACAUGUACUUAUGAGUGAGUGAGUGUGGAAUAGCAUAGGAAAGGUCUAUUAGAAAUUUAAAGAUGAUGUAGAUGUGAAUUAAUGGUAUAGGGAUAGAGAAGAUUCCAGGGGUACAUUGAUGGGGCUUUUUUCAUAUUCAUCAAUAGUAAAAUAAAUAAUUGCAAAAGGGUUAAUAAUGACAAUUCUUUACAUUUCUGGCCCCCAAAUUCUGUUUUACUUACGUGGAGUCGACUGCUUUUACCAGUUUGUUGCAUAUCCCUCUAGAUACUUUGACAAUAUGCAUUGGUAUUCAUGUGCCCUCUAUCCCCUCCCUCCCUUCACACAAAUGAUAAUGUAGUUAAUAUAUUUCUGCAUCUUUUCUUAACAGUAUAUCUUGGAAUUUUCCCCUCUUCUAUUCAUAUAGAUUUAAGUGUAUUCUAAUAUUCUCAUUAACAUUUGUAUUAUAUUUCAUUGUAUAGGUGUAUUGUAAUUCAUUUUCCCAGCCCCCUGUGGUAGACAUUUAGUAUGUUUCUGUUCUUUUGCUGUUACAAAUCAUUUGUGGAUGCAUAUCCCUAUAUAGUCUUUGAGCUAAUGUGUGUAUAUUUGGCUGAUUUAGUUCUAUAAGUGGAAUUGCUAAGUCAAAUGAUUAUGUGCAUAUUGUAAAUUUUCUGAUGACUAUUACUGUGUUGCCCUUUAAAAGAGGUAGUACCUCUUACCAUACCUCCAACAAGAUACCAGAGCUUAUUUCUCUACAUCAGAGCCGUCAGCAUUUUCAUUCCUAUCAUAAAUAUGAUAGGAAAGGUAUUUCAUCUUCAUAAAUUUUUACUUCUUUGAGUAAAGUAGAACAUCUUUUCAUAUUUGAAAAAAAAUUCACUUGUGUUUCUUUUCUGUGGGAUAGUCCUCUUCCAGUGUUUUACCAGGUUGUUAACUUUUUCUUCAGGGGUGUCUGGGUGGCUCAUUGGGUUGUGUAUGACUCUUGAUCUUAGCUCAGGUCUUGAUCUCAGGGUCAUGAGUUCAAGCCCUGCAUUGGGCUCCACGCCCAGGGUGGAUCCUACUUUAAAAAAAAAAAAAAAUGUUUAAGCUUUUUAAUUAAGGAAAUCAACAAAGAUUCUUUAUGUAUCAUUUUCUUUGAUUACUUUUAUAUAUUUUGGUCUGUUGACAUUUAAAAAUUGUUUUUAACUACUUUAAGUAAUUAAAGUUUUAUAAAAUACGUUAUGGGGCAUGGUUAUUUAGAAGUAUUUAAUUAUUGUGUAAUACUUGGGUCUUUUAUAUAAUUUUUUUUAAACUACAUAGUCUCAUAGUUAUGUUUGCAUUCUAAAAACUUCAUUCUUAGAGAUUAAUUUGGAUUAAAGGCAAAAAAUGAUUAAAAAAUACAACUUUGGGUAUUCCUAGUUGAGGAUCUUGUAGGUGAAUUAAAAUCUAAAGAUUCUGUGGUAUUUGUCAUUUGCUCUACUUUAGGACUGCUAAGUAAUAUUAAAUAAUUUUCAUAGUUUUUCAUGCUCAUGAUUAGGAAAUAAGUCCUAUUUCUUCCUAUAUGAAAUUAUGAAUUUAUAAAGACACAUAAAGUAUUUAGUUACAAUAUUUUCCAAAAACAAUUAUUUAAAAAGGAACCACAGACUUUUGGGCUGUCUGUCAUGAGUGGGAAAAUCAAGGUAAGCCCAGAGUUUGAGAACCCAUGUAUCGUUUAUUAGAUACCUAAUUGGUGAUACUACUAUAACAUAAAUGUUGGCUGAGAGUUUCACAGUGACUCUCUAAUUUUCUUAUACUUUUAUGUUAAUUUUAUCCAUCCUUUAUAUCCAUCUGAAGAAAAUUAGUUAUUGAAUUUUCUAAGGGGCCCAUUUUACAAGGGUGAAGCUGGACCCAUUUUAAAUCAUCUUGACACAUGUAACAAAAUUUUUGCCACCUGGUAUACCACUGCGUUUUUUUUGUUUGUUUGCUUGUUUGUUUGGGUUUUUUUUGCAUUGUGAACACUGGUAGGCAUGAGUAAUGUAAUUGUUCAUUCUAUAGUUCUAGAACUUCAGACGAGAUCGGGCGCUUCAGGGUGGUAUGGCCGUAGACUAGAACUUCAGUAUAUUUCUUUGUAUUUUCUUUGAAGACACUUCUAUUAAAAUUUUACUGAAAACGUAACAUGAAUCUUAAAUGAUCAAUGUAAUGAUUAAAAUCUGGCCAUUUUAAAACUAAAUAUCUGAUAUUACAUAGUUUUUAUCUCUUGAGAAUAUUUUAAA
Molecule: long non-coding RNA, 14763 nt
Organism: Mirounga angustirostris (Northern elephant seal)
Lineage: Eukaryota; Metazoa; Chordata; Mammalia; Carnivora; Phocidae
Exons: 2
Source: RefSeq, a predicted model, not a curated record